GUUCCUAAGCGACUGCUACUAGAUGCCCAUUUUCACACCGGGCAUUCCCGUGGCUGUUUUGUUCAUUAGCACUUUGGCUAAUAGCUGCUAAAUUCCGGGUGUACCAGAGGCACUGCCUCAAUUACCGGCAGCUCCUUCUGAAUGGGGGAAGGAAAAUGGCUGGAAGAAAGGUGAGAACAGGCAAGUAAGGCAAGAUAUACCUUCACUUAUUCCAAAGUUCCAGUAUACCUUGAAGUCAUGAGGUGGCAUUGUGAAUUAAUUGAGGAGGCAAGAUGUAUGUGAAUCUUGCGGGUUUUCUUCUUAGUUAUCAGGUUUGAAGUUUGUCGUGAGAAGACUGUAGACACGGCAGUUAAACGGCACCAACAGGUACUUGUCGGUCGAUCCAUGGAAGUCAUAGUGAAAGAGCAAGGAAGAACUAUGGAACUUCUGGGUUAUUCUUUGCUAACCUUAUCAGUGACCAUUGUUUUAAAUAACACGAACAUUUGAGAUUCAGAAUUCUGAAAAAAACUCUUAUCUUGGACUUGCUGGGGGCAAGACUUA
Schistocerca serialis cubense is the source of this 540-nucleotide long non-coding RNA. RefSeq lists it as uncharacterized. The record is from RefSeq and is a predicted model, not a curated record. The transcript is spliced from 3 exons. NCBI's taxonomy places the organism in Eukaryota, Metazoa, Arthropoda, Insecta, Orthoptera, Acrididae.